AAAGACUGCAGUUUUGCACUGUACAUGUCCAACAUUUAACCGUCCAUCUUAUUUGAAAAAAAUUUAUAAUUAGUAUUUUUAUUGUUAUUAGAUGAUAAAACAUGAAUAGUAAUUUAUGUUUGACUAUUUUUUUAAAAAUUUUUUAUGAACUUUUUAAAUAAGACGGACAGUAAAACGUAAAUAAACAACUACAUUUAAA
Oryza rufipogon (brownbeard rice) is the source of this 199-nucleotide microRNA precursor. It matches the Rfam family "MIR812 microRNA precursor family". The record is from Rfam. NCBI's taxonomy places the organism in Eukaryota, Viridiplantae, Streptophyta, Magnoliopsida, Poales, Poaceae.